AACGAACGCUGGCGGCGUGCCUAACACAUGCAAGUCGAGCGCGAAUGGAGCAAUCCUAGUAGAGCGGCGCACGGGUGCGUAACACGUGGGCAAUCUGCCUGGGAGAUGAGGAUAACCAGUCGAAAGAUUGGCUAAUACUCGAUAAGCCCACGGGGACUUCGGUCCCUGAGGGAAAAGGUGGCCUCUGUAUACAAGCUAUCACUUCCAGAUGAGCCCGCGGCCCAUCAGCUAGUUGGCGGGGUAAUGGCCCACCAAGGCAACGACGGGGUAGCUGGUCUGAGAGGACGAUCAGCCACACUGGAACGUGAGACACGGUCCAGACUCCUACGGGAGGCAGCAGUGGGGUAAUUUUGCGCAAUGGGCGAAAGCCUGACGCAGCAACGCCGCGUGUGUGAUG
Molecule: ribosomal RNA, 397 nt
Filed under: uncultured bacterium
Lineage: Bacteria
Description: bacterial SSU rRNA
Rfam family: Bacterial small subunit ribosomal RNA
Source: RNAcentral